GCCUGGUUAGUACUUGGAUGGGAGACCACCUGGGAAUACCAGGU
Ribosomal RNA from Acanthochromis polyacanthus (spiny chromis), 44 nucleotides. Lineage: Eukaryota; Metazoa; Chordata; Actinopteri; Pomacentridae. The record is from Ensembl.